ACUCCUGUAGCCCAACUGGAAGAGGCGGCUGUCUCAAAAACAGUCUGUGUAUGGGUUCAAAUCCCAUCGGGAGUACCA
Molecule: transfer RNA, 78 nt
Filed under: Fischerella muscicola CCMEE 5323
Lineage: Bacteria; Bacillati; Cyanobacteriota; Cyanophyceae; Nostocales; Hapalosiphonaceae
Also listed under: 2 other names
Description: tRNA-Leu
Rfam family: tRNA
About the family: Transfer RNA (tRNA) molecules are approximately 80 nucleotides in length.
Source: RNAcentral